UCGACUGUUUAACAAAAACAUUUUUUUACGGUAAUAUGUAAAAUAAGACCUGCCCGCUGAGAUUAACUUGAAGGGCUGCGGUAUAUUGACCGUACUAAGGUAGCAUAAUCAUUAGUCCCUUUAUUAGGGAAUGGAAUGAAUGGUUUAACUGGGAUUUGUUUUUUGUUUCAAGAUAAGUAAAUUUAAAUUUUAAGUGAAAAUGCUUAGUUUCUCUAAGGGGACGAUAAGACCCUAUAGAGCUUUAUACACACUCAACCCAAAAAUUUUGGGGGAAGUUUUUGGGUUGAGUGUAUAUUUAGUUGGGGCAAUUAAUGAAUUAAAAUAACUUCAUUAUAAAAUUCGGAGUAAUCUUGUUGUUUAAAAAAUAAAAAGCUACCUUAGGGAUAACAGCGUUAUUUUUUUUGAGAGUUCUUAUCGACAAAAUUGAUUACGACCUCGAUGUUGAAUUAAGGAAUCUUUUAGGAGCAAAAUUUAUAAAAGACAGUCUGUUCGACUAUUAAAUUCUUACAUGAUUUGAGUUCAGACCGGA
This 529-nucleotide ribosomal RNA is filed under the name Dicranocentrus hainanicus. RNAcentral describes it as "partial 16S ribosomal RNA". It matches the Rfam family "Bacterial large subunit ribosomal RNA", at positions 1796 to 2620 of the family's 2925-position model. The record is from RNAcentral. Lineage: Eukaryota; Metazoa; Arthropoda; Collembola; Entomobryomorpha; Entomobryidae.